AUUGAACGCUGGCGGCAGGCCUAACACAUGCAAGUCGAACGGUAACAGGGAUCAGCUUGCUGAUUCGCUGACGAGUGGCGGACGGGUGAGUAAUGUCUGGGAAACUGCCUGAUGGAGGGGGAUAACUACUGGAAACGGUAGCUAAUACCGCAUAACGUCGCAAGAUCAAAGAGGGGGACCUUCGGGCCUCUUGCCAUCGGAUGUGCCCAGAUGGGAUUAGCUAGUAGGUGGGGUAACGGCUCACCUAGGCGACGAUCCCUAGCUGGUCUGAGAGGAUGACCAGCCACACUGGAACUGAGACACGGUCCAGACUCCUACGGGAGGCAGCAGUGGGGAAUAUUGCACAAUGGGCGCAAGCCUGAUGCAGCCAUGCCGCGUGUAUGAAGAAGGCCUUCGGGUUGUAAAGUACUUUCAGCGGGGAGGAAGGGAGUAAAGUUAAUACCUUUGCUCAUUGACGUUACCCGCAGAAGAAGCACCGGCUAACUCCGUG
Molecule: ribosomal RNA, 490 nt
Filed under: uncultured bacterium
Lineage: Bacteria
Description: partial 16S ribosomal RNA
Rfam family: Bacterial small subunit ribosomal RNA
Source: RNAcentral